Molecule: long non-coding RNA, 311 nt
Filed under: Mytilus galloprovincialis (Mediterranean mussel)
Lineage: Eukaryota; Metazoa; Mollusca; Bivalvia; Mytilida; Mytilidae
Source: RNAcentral
CUUACAUAUAAAAAAGAAGAUGUGGUAUGAUUACCCAACAUAUCCCCUUACAUAUGAUAAAAGAAGAUGUGGUAUGAAUGCCAAUGAGACAACCCUCCACAAGAGACCAAAUGACACAGAUAUUAACAACUUUAGGUCAUCGUACGGCCUUCAACAAUGAGCAAAUCUCAUACCGCAUAGACAGCUUUUAAAGGCCCCAAAAUGACAAAUGUUAAACAAUUCAAACAAAAAUCUAACGGGCUAAUUUAUGUACAAAAAAAAUGAACGAAAACCCAAUAUGUAACACAUCAGCAAACAACCACAAAAGAAUU